GACGAACGCUGGCGGCGUGCUUAACACAUGCAAGUCGAACGGAAAGGCCCUGCUUUUGUGGGGUGCUCGAGUGGCGAACGGGUGAGCAACACGUGAGUAACCUGCCCUUGACUUUGGGAUAACUUCAGGAAACUGGGGCUAAUACCGGAUAGGAGCUCCUGCUGCAUGGUGGGGGUUGGAAAGUUUCGGCGGUUGGGGAUGGACUCGCGGCUUAUCAGCUUGUUGGUGGGGUAGUGGCUUACCAAGGCUUUGACGGGUAGCCGGCCUGAGAGGGUGACCGGCCACAUUGGGGCUGAGAUACGGCCCAGACUCCUACGGGAGGCAGCAGUGGGGAAUAUUGCACAAUGGGCGGAAGCCUGAUGCAGCAACGCCGCGUGCGGGAUGACGGCCUUCGGGUUGUAAACCGCUUUCGCCUGUGACGAAGCGUGAGUGACGGUAAUGGGUAAAGAAGCACCGGCUAACUACGUG
This 468-nucleotide ribosomal RNA is filed under the name uncultured bacterium. Its description in RNAcentral is "partial 16S ribosomal RNA". It matches the Rfam family "Bacterial small subunit ribosomal RNA", at positions 28 to 507 of the family's 1533-position model. The record is from RNAcentral.